Molecule: ribosomal RNA, 2375 nt
Filed under: Klebsiella pneumoniae
Lineage: Bacteria; Pseudomonadati; Pseudomonadota; Gammaproteobacteria; Enterobacterales; Enterobacteriaceae
Description: bacterial LSU rRNA
Rfam family: Bacterial large subunit ribosomal RNA
Source: RNAcentral
AGCGUACACGGUGGAUGCCCUGGCAGUCAGAGGCGAUGAAGGACGUGCUAAUCUGCGAAAAGCGUCGGUAAGGUGAUAUGAACCGUUAUAGCCGGCGAUGUCCGAAUGGGGAAACCCAGUGCAAUUCGUUGCACUAUCGUUAACUGAAUACAUAGGUUAACGAGGCGAACCGGGGGAACUGAAACAUCUAAGUACCCCGAGGAAAAGAAAUCAACCGAGAUUCCCCCAGUAGCGGCGAGCGAACGGGGAGCAGCCCAGAGUCUGAAUCAGCUUGUGUGUUAGUGGAACGGUCUGGAAAGUCCGACGGUACAGGGUGAUAGUCCCGUACACCAAAAUGCACAGGUUGUGAACUCGAAGAGUAGGGCGGGACACGUGGUAUCCUGUCUGAAUAUGGGGGGACCAUCCUCCAAGGCUAAAUACUCCUGACUGACCGAUAGUGAACCAGUACCGUGAGGGAAAGGCGAAAAGAACCCCGGCGAGGGGAGUGAAAAAGAACCUGAAACCGUGUACGUACAAGCAGUGGGAGCACCUUCGGGUGUGACUGCGUACCUUUUGUAUAAUGGGUCAGCGACUUAUAUUCUGUAGCAAGGUUAACCGUAUAGGGGAGCCGCAGGGAAACCGAGUCUUAACUGGGCGUUAAGUUGCAGGGUAUAGACCCGAAACCCGGUGAUCUAGCCAUGGGCAGGUUGAAGGUUGGGUAACACUAACUGGAGGACCGAACCGACUAAUGUUGAAAAAUUAGCGGAUGACUUGUGGCUGGGGGUGAAAGGCCAAUCAAACCGGGAGAUAGCUGGUUCUCCCCGAAAGCUAUUUAGGUAGCGCCUCGUGAAUUCAUCUUCGGGGGUAGAGCACUGUUUCGGCUAGGGGGUCAUCCCGACUUACCAACCCGAUGCAAACUACGAAUACCGAAGAAUGUUAUCACGGGAGACACACGGCGGGUGCUAACGUCCGUCGUGAAGAGGGAAACAACCCAGACCGCCAGCUAAGGUCCCAAAGUCAUGGUUAAGUGGGAAACGAUGUGGGAAGGCACAGACAGCCAGGAUGUUGGCUUAGAAGCAGCCAUCAUUUAAAGAAAGCGUAAUAGCUCACUGGUCGAGUCGGCCUGCGCGGAAGAUGUAACGGGGCUAAACCAUGCACCGAAGCUGCGGCAGCGACACUAUGUGUUGUUGGGUAGGGGAGCGUUCUGUAAGCCUGCGAAGGUGUGCUGUGAGGCAUGCUGGAGGUAUCAGAAGUGCGAAUGCUGACAUAAGUAACGAUAAAGCGGGUGAAAAGCCCGCUCGCCGGAAGACCAAGGGUUCCUGUCCAACGUUAAUCGGGGCAGGGUGAGUCGACCCCUAAGGCGAGGCCGAAAGGCGUAGUCGAUGGGAAACAGGUUAAUAUUCCUGUACUUGGUGUUACUGCGAAGGGGGGACGGAGAAGGCUAUGUUAGCCGGGCGACGGUUGUCCCGGUUUAAGCAUGUAGGCUGGUUGUCCAGGCAAAUCCGGAUAAUCAAGGCUGAGGUGUGAUGACGAGGCACUACGGUGCUGAAGUAACAAAUGCCCUGCUUCCAGGAAAAGCCUCUAAGCAUCAGGUAACAUUAAAUCGUACCCCAAACCGACACAGGUGGUCAGGUAGAGAAUACCAAGGCGCUUGAGAGAACUCGGGUGAAGGAACUAGGCAAAAUGGUGCCGUAACUUCGGGAGAAGGCACGCUGGUGUGUAGGUGAAGUCCCUGCGGAUGGAGCUGAGACCAGUCGAAGAUACCAGCUGGCUGCAACUGUUUAUUAAAAACACAGCACUGUGCAAACACGAAAGUGGACGUAUACGGUGUGACGCCUGCCCGGUGCCGGAAGGUUAAUUGAUGGGGUUAUCCGUAAGGAGAAGCUCUUGAUCGAAGCCCCGGUAAACGGCGGCCGUAACUAUAACGGUCCUAAGGUAGCGAAAUUCCUUGUCGGGUAAGUUCCGACCUGCACGAAUGGCGUAAUGAUGGCCAGGCUGUCUCCACCCGAGACUCAGUGAAAUUGAACUCGCUGUGAAGAUGCAGUGUACCCGCGGCAAGACGGAAAGACCCCGUGAACCUUUACUAUAGCUUGACACUGAACAUUGAGCCUUGAUGUGUAGGAUAGGUGGGAGGCUUUGAAGCGUGGACGCCAGUCUGCGUGGAGCCAACCUUGAAAUACCACCCUUUAAUGUUUGAUGUUCUAACGUUGGCCCCUGACCGGGGUUGCGGACAGUGUCUGGUGGGUAGUUUGACUGGGGCGGUCUCCUCCCAAAGCGUAACGGAGGAGCACGAAGGUUAGCUAAUCCUGGUCGGACAUCAGGAGGUUAGUGCAAUGGCAUAAGCUAGCUUGACUGCGAGCGUGACGGCGCGAGCAGGUGCGAAAGCAGGUCAUAGU